Molecule: small RNA, 42 nt
Filed under: Arabidopsis thaliana (thale cress)
Lineage: Eukaryota; Viridiplantae; Streptophyta; Magnoliopsida; Brassicales; Brassicaceae
Description: ATSL162920
Source: RNAcentral
CCCACUUACAGUUUUACGAUAUACUGAUGGUUCUUUGGAACA